This 81-nucleotide transfer RNA is filed under the name Cyanobacteria bacterium HKST-UBA03. RNAcentral's name for it is "tRNA-Leu". It matches the Rfam family "tRNA". From Rfam's summary of the family: Transfer RNA (tRNA) molecules are approximately 80 nucleotides in length. Lineage: Bacteria; Bacillati; Cyanobacteriota. The record is from RNAcentral. RNAcentral also lists the same sequence under 1 other name.
GGGCAUGUGGCGGAAUGGUAGACGCGCUGGUUUUAGGUACCAGUGAGGCAACUCGUGGAGGUUCAAGUCCUCUCAUGCCCA